CAGCCGCCGCGGGAACACGAAGGGGGCUAGCGUUGCUCGGAAUUACUGGGCGUAAAGGGAGCGUAGGCGGACAUUUAAGUCAGGGGUGAAAUCCCAGAGCUCAACUCUGGAACUGCCUUUGAUACUGGGUGUCUUGAGUGUGAUAGAGGUAUGUGGAACUCCGAGUGUAGAGGUGAAAUUCGUAGAUAUUCGGAAGAACACCAGUGGCGAAGGCGACAUACUGGAUCAUUACUGACGCUGAGGCUCGAAAGCGUGGGGAGCAAACAGGAUUAGAUACCCGAGUAGUCCCUGUCUCUUAUAC
This 301-nucleotide ribosomal RNA is filed under the name uncultured bacterium. RNAcentral describes it as "partial 16S ribosomal RNA". It matches the Rfam family "Bacterial small subunit ribosomal RNA", at positions 509 to 807 of the family's 1533-position model. The record is from RNAcentral.